AUACUAAAUGAGAGUUGGAAUGG
Molecule: small nuclear RNA, 23 nt
Filed under: Arabidopsis thaliana (thale cress)
Lineage: Eukaryota; Viridiplantae; Streptophyta; Magnoliopsida; Brassicales; Brassicaceae
Description: snRNA_09203
Source: RNAcentral